RNAcentral lists this ribosomal RNA (492 nucleotides) under uncultured bacterium. RNAcentral's name for it is "partial 16S ribosomal RNA". It matches the Rfam family "Bacterial small subunit ribosomal RNA", at positions 29 to 507 of the family's 1533-position model. The record is from RNAcentral.
AUUGAACGCUGGCGGCAUGCUUUACACAUGCAAGUCGAACGGUAAUAGGCCUUCGGGUGCUGACGAGUGGCGAACGGGUGAGUAAUGCAUCGGAACGUACCCAGAGGUGGGGGAUAACGCAGCGAAAGCUGUGCUAAUACCGCAUGUGAUCUGAGGAUGAAAGCGGGGGACCGAGCAGCAAUGUUUGGCCUCGCGCCUUUGGAGCGGCCGAUGUCGGAUUAGCUAGUUGGUGGGGUAAAGGCCUACCAAGGCGACGAUCCGUAGCUGGUCUGAGAGGACGACCAGCCACACUGGGACUGAGACACGGCCCAGACUCCUACGGGAGGCAGCAGUGGGGAAUGUUGGACAAUGGGCGCAAGCCUGAUCCAGCAAUGCCGCGUGCGGGAAGAAGGCCUUCGGGUUGUAAACCGCUUUUGGCAGGAACGAAACGGUGUCCGCUAAUACCGGGCGCUAAUGACGGUACCUGCAGAAUAAGCACCGGCUAACUACGUG